GGCUGGUCCGAUGGCACUGGUGUUUACAACUAAUUGAUCACAAUCAGUUACAGAUUUCUUUGUUCCUUCUCCACUCUCACUGCUUCACUCGACUAGCCUAAA
Y RNA from Callithrix jacchus (white-tufted-ear marmoset), 102 nucleotides. It matches the Rfam family "Y RNA". Rfam says of the family: Y RNAs are components of the Ro ribonucleoprotein particle (Ro RNP), in association with Ro60 and La proteins. The Y RNAs and Ro60 and La proteins are well conserved, but the function of the Ro RNP is not known. In humans the RNA component can be one of four small RNAs -- hY1, hY3, hY4 and hY5. The record is from Ensembl. NCBI's taxonomy places the organism in Eukaryota, Metazoa, Chordata, Mammalia, Primates, Cebidae.